This 465-nucleotide ribosomal RNA is filed under the name uncultured Klebsiella sp. RNAcentral's name for it is "bacterial SSU rRNA". It matches the Rfam family "Bacterial small subunit ribosomal RNA", at positions 338 to 795 of the family's 1533-position model. The record is from RNAcentral. Lineage: Bacteria; Pseudomonadati; Pseudomonadota; Gammaproteobacteria; Enterobacterales; Enterobacteriaceae.
CCUACGGGUGGCAGCAGUGGGGAAUAUUGCACAAUGGGCGCAAGCCUGAUGCAGCCAUGCCGCGUGUGUGAAGAAGGCCUUCGGGUUGUAAAGCACUUUCAGCGGGGAGGAAGGCGGUGAGGUUAAUAACCUCAUCGAUUGACGUUAUCCGCAGAAGAAGCACCGGCUAACUCCGUGCCAGCAGCCGCGGUAAUACGGAGGGUGCAAGCGUUAAUCGGAAUUACUGGGCGUAAAGCGCACGCAGGCGGUCUGUCAAGUCGGAUGUGAAAUCCCCGGGCUCAACCUGGGAACUGCAUUCGAAACUGGCAGGCUAGAGUCGUGUAGAGGGGGGUAGAAUUCCAGGUGUAGCGGUGAAAUGCGUAGAGAUCUGGAGGAAUACCGGUGGCGAAGGCGGCCCCCUGGACAAAGACUGACGCUCAGGUGCGAAAGCGUGGGGAGCAAACAGGAUUAGAUACCCGGGUAGUC